This 497-nucleotide ribosomal RNA is filed under the name uncultured bacterium. Its description in RNAcentral is "partial 16S ribosomal RNA". It matches the Rfam family "Bacterial small subunit ribosomal RNA", at positions 28 to 507 of the family's 1533-position model. The record is from RNAcentral.
GAUGAACGCUGGCGGCGUGCCUAAUACAUGCAAGUCGAGCGAACGGACGAGAAGCUUGCUUCUCUGAUGUUAGCGGCGGACGGGUGAGUAACACGUGGAUAACCUACCUAUAAGACUGGGAUAACUUCGGGAAACCGUAGCUAAUACCGGAUAAUAUUUUGAACCGCAUGGUUCAAAAGUGAAAGACGGUCUUGCUGUCACUUAUAGAUGGAUCCGCGCUUCAUUAGCUAGUUGGUAAGGUAACGGCUUACCAAGGCAACGAUGCAUAGCCGACCUGAGAGGGUGAUCGGCCACACUGGAACUGAGACACGGUCCAGACUCCUACGGGAGGCAGCAGUAGGGAAUCUUCCGCAAUGGGCGAAAGCCUGACGGAGCAACGCCGCGUGAGUGAUGAAGGUCUUCGGACCGUAAAACUCUGUUAUUAGGGAAGAACAUAUGUGUAAGUAACUGUGCACAUCUUGACGGUACCUAAUCAGAAAGCCACGGCUAACUACGUG